This 482-nucleotide unclassified non-coding RNA is filed under the name Hevea brasiliensis (rubber tree). The record is from RNAcentral. Lineage: Eukaryota; Viridiplantae; Streptophyta; Magnoliopsida; Malpighiales; Euphorbiaceae.
AAGAGCCCUUCUUUUCUCCCCAAAGAUCAGUCAACAAAUCCUAAAUCACUCUUCCUUAAUUUAAGCAAUAGACUCCUUAACUUUAAAUACCUAACACACCAUAAAGGAUUUAGCCAGUAAAUUAUGUUCUAUAUUGGUUAGAUAAAACAAGUCUAAUUCCAUGUAAUUCGGCAUAAAGUGUUUGGCUGCAACCUGAACAAAAUAGUUAUGUAGAAAAGGUCUUAAGCUGUGAAUCUAUCCUACACAAAUGAAAUUUAAAAAAGGUCUUAAUUUCUGAUGUACCAAAAUAAAAGGUCUCAUGCCAUGUGGUGGGUGCUGCAUAGAGAGUGCUUGGCUGCCACCCAAAUAGCAUGAGUUAUGCAGAAAAGGUCAUAUGCUAGUUUUGGCUCCAUCAAUCUCAGUAUCAAGCCUUGGUGGUCAUGGUUUUCACAUCCAAAUAUAAAUAAUCUUGAAAUCAUAAACAAGAUAACAAAGAUAAAAAA